GAAAGAUGACGUGGAGUUUCCUAACAGGAGAAGGACUUGGACUCAAUGUUUAGGAGAGAAAGAUGAAAACAUCAGGAUUGCUGUCCUCAAGGAUCAAAGAGACCCACAGAAAACUAGAGAUGAGACCUCUCCACAAAAAACUAUCCUAAUCCAAUGAGCCAUGCUAUGCUUUGGAUCAUGAAUGCCACAUUUCUGUUGGACCUUGAAAUCAUCUGCCAUCGCAUAUCUGACAAUCUAAAAGAACACAUCAGAUUGUCAGAAGAAACUGAAUGGACAGCACAUUUUCUUUUUUUUAGGACAGACUGAGAUGAAAACCAUUAUGAAGUUUUUGCAGACUUGCCAGGAAUGUAUGUGGGA
Molecule: long non-coding RNA, 357 nt
Organism: Lagenorhynchus albirostris (white-beaked dolphin)
Lineage: Eukaryota; Metazoa; Chordata; Mammalia; Artiodactyla; Delphinidae
Exons: 3
Source: RefSeq, a predicted model, not a curated record